This 828-nucleotide ribosomal RNA is filed under the name Westerdykella dispersa. Its description in RNAcentral is "LSU rRNA". It matches the Rfam family "Eukaryotic large subunit ribosomal RNA", at positions 74 to 919 of the family's 3401-position model. The record is from RNAcentral. Lineage: Eukaryota; Fungi; Ascomycota; Dothideomycetes; Pleosporales; Sporormiaceae.
AUUGCCCUAGUAACGGCGAGUGAAGCGGCAACAGCUCAAAUUUGAAAUCUGGCCCUCUCAGGGUCCGAGUUGUAAUUUGCAGAGGGUGCUUUGGCGAUGGCUGUGGUCUAAGUUCCUUGGAACAGGACGUCACAGAGGGUGAGAAUCCCGUACGUGGCCGCCAGCCUCCGCCGUGUAAAGCCCUUCGACGAGUCGAGUUGUUUGGGAAUGCAGCUCUAAAUGGGAGGUAAAUUCCUUCUAAAGCUAAAUACUGGCCAGAGACCGAUAGCGCACAAGUAGAGUGAUCGAAAGAUGAAAAGCACUUUGGAAAGAGAGUCAAAAAGCACGUGAAAUUGUUGAAAGGGAAGCGCUUGCAGCCAGACAUGCCUGUAGUUGCUCACCGGGGCUCUUGCCCUGGGCACUCUUCUACGGGCAGGCCAGCAUCAGUCCGGGCGGUUGGAUAAAUGCCUGCUACAUGUACCUCUCUUCGGGGAGGACUUAUAGGGUAGGCGACAUACAGCCAGCCUGGACUGAGGUCCGCGCAUCUGCUAGGAUGCUGGCGUAAUGGCUGUAAGCGGCCCGUCUUGAAACACGGACCAAGGAGUCUAACAUCUAUGCGAGUGUUUGGGUGUAAAGCCCGAGCGCGGAAUGAAAGUGAACGGAGGUGGGAACCCCUCGGGGUGCACCAUCGACCGAUCCUGAUGUCUUCGGAUGGAUUUGAGUAUGAGCAUAGCUGUUGGGACCCGAAAGAUGGUGAACUAUGCCUGAAAUAGGGUGAAGCCAGAGGAAAACUCUGGUGGAGGCUCGCAGCGGUUCUGACGUGCAAAUCGAUCGUCAAAUUUGGGCAUA